RNAcentral lists this ribosomal RNA (301 nucleotides) under uncultured bacterium. Its description in RNAcentral is "partial 16S ribosomal RNA". It matches the Rfam family "Bacterial small subunit ribosomal RNA", at positions 509 to 808 of the family's 1533-position model. The record is from RNAcentral.
CAGCCGCCGCGGUAAUACGUAGGUCCCGAGCGUUGUCCGGAUUUAUUGGGCGUAAAGGGAGCGCAGGCGGUUUAGUAAGUCUGAAGUUAAAGGCAUUGGCUCAACCAAUGUAUGCUUUGGAAACUGUUAGACUUGAGUGCAGAAGGGGAGAGUGGAAUUCCAUGUGUAGCGGUGAAAUGCGUAGAUAUAUGGAGGAACACCGGUGGCGAAAGCGGCUCUCUGGUCUGUCACUGACGCUGAGGCUCGAAAGCGUGGGUAGCGAACAGGAUUAGAUACCCCUGUAGUCCCUGUCUCUUAUACA